UCCUUCUGGUCUUUCGCUCGCUCUUCACUCUCUCUUAAUCUCUCUUAGUUAUCUCUCUCCUUCGUUGAUAGUAGACCACACCACCACCACCACUUGCCAUUCUGGCGAACACCCACGAAACCUCCCUAUCACGAACCUAACCCAGGCCGAGACCCUUUGUCUCCUCGCUGCAUAGUGCCAUCAUUGUGCAAAAAUCUGAUCCGUCAAAGUGUUUGGACAUAGGAACCACGUCGGGGAAGAACUUCCCAGUUUUUGGUGAGCCAUCCGCGAGUUGCAGGUGCUUUUCCGAUCACCUUCUGACCACGGCUAGUCCUUGAAUUGGUGCGAUCACUAUCAAAGACUCCGACUUUCCCAGCUUGAAUAGAUGUCACAUCGCAAGUACCUAAAAUUCCAGUAAGACCUUUUGAUUAUCGGGAUGAAGCUGUAUUUCAAAUGAUAUGCAUAUUAAGAAUGUUGGCAUUCAUCUUCUAUCGAAUCGAUGAUUUACCAGAAUACUUGAUCGUAUGGCAGCUCAUGAAGGCGAAUGGCAAGAGAGCUUCAAGCAAGGCCGGAAACAAAAAUAGCUCAGAAAGAAGGAUGAUGAUGAAUGCCGAUGGUUUCCAUGGUGGCCAUGGAGUUUUGACAAGGCGAGUCGUGUAUAUAAGAGAGCAAUCACUUUCACUCCCUUUUGUGCUCAAAGAAGCUCAAAUUAAGCCAUCUUCUUCUCUCUAUAGCUGCUACUACAUACCCGGCAAGCUCAUCCAGACUCUCUCUCUCAAACAAAGAAAAUGAAGAAGCAAACAGUCAGCUCAUCAAGCAAGGGUGGAAAACAAAAACAAAAAAAAAGCUCAGAAAGAGGGAUGAUGAUGAAUGAUGACGGAUUCCAUAGUGGCCAUGGACUUUUUACAAGGCGAGUGGCAAGAGAGCUUCAAAUGAAGGAGGAGGAGGUAAAGGAAGAUAAGGUGGAGGAGGAAAGAAAAAGGACGAGGAAAGGAAGAGAAGGAAGAGGCCCACGAGGGGGUGGAGGCCAAGGAGCCGAGUUUUACUGAGUCACCCUGAUCAAACUGUUGAUGGGGUGAAUGCUGGUGCUGCUCAAGAUGUGCCUGCUGGACCCCUGCCAUCGGCCGCUGCUGCCGAUAGUAAUGAAGUAGAUAUGGAAACGGUACUUGGAUUGGGUCAGCGGGGGUUGACUCCCUGGAGAAGCAAGGAGGAGCAGGAUUUGUGGUUUGGCGGGAAAUUUCAAGUGGGCUUAGAAAGUUCUGCCUAGGUGGUUUAAAUAAUCUUCUCUCUUCCUCCUAAUUGUUAUUUGUCUUUAGAUUAAAUGUUUAAAUUUUAAUAUGGUAUCAGAGUAGGCUAUACUUAAGUUUAACAAUUAUAUAUGUAAAUCGUCAUUUCGUAAAUACUAAUCCUUACCAUUG
This is a non-coding RNA of Malus domestica (apple), 1397 nucleotides long. NCBI's taxonomy places the organism in Eukaryota, Viridiplantae, Streptophyta, Magnoliopsida, Rosales, Rosaceae. The record is from RefSeq and is a predicted model, not a curated record.